GUAUUGACAAAUUAAAAUAGUGUUCAUUAAAGAUCACUUUCAGACAUCUUUUUGACAUUUCCUUUAAGACUUAUUUUUUAGAAAAAAGUUUCAGAAAUAUCCUAUAUGAGAGCGCUUAAAGAUUGCUUUAAAGUAAUCAUAUUAGAUAUCUUUUAGAUAAAGUUGUGUAUGACAAUUUGAAACGCAUGCAUAGUUUUCUAAAAGUUGUCCAAACUGAUAUGAAAAAAGAUGACUUUCGGAGUUUCGGAGCGCGCUCCAGGCGCGCUCUCUCAGCGGUCGCCCUGUCUGCUACUCUUUUGAGGUUAUUUUUCCGCGAGUUUUCUUUUUGGCAACUUUUGGAAUAUCGCUACACCUCCAACGACUUUUUCCAAGAAAUCUUAAAAUGCGGACUGUAAGAGUUCUUAAUGUGUAUACUUCGAAAUUCCAUCGGCUUGUGAGGAGUGCGUUAGUGCAUUGUGAAAUAACACGGCGUUUCGCAUGGCGGAAUAAACAGUUUUUACAAUUAUUAUACGUAUAUAUCGUUGAAUGCUAACAGCUGCAUUUCUAUUGAUCAGUGCAUUUUGUGGAGUCCAGUACGCGGCUCAAGGCUUGGCUGAAGGUGUUUCGAACUCUACAUUUUUCAACAAUUUACAAAGGAGUAAUUAAGGAUAAGCUCAACGCUCCUGAAGACUAGAUAAUAAAACGCAUGCAAAAAUGGUUGCAAAAGACUGGAGACCGCAAAAGAUACAAAGAACAACAAGCCAGGAGACAAGCUCAGUUAGAAAAUAAUAACGAGAGAAAUUUAUUUAAUCGUGUCUUAUGACUCCAUUGUCAUAACUAUUAAAAUAUUGUUUAUUUAUUUAAUGAUAUUUGCCUGAUGCAGUAUUUAUAGAUUACCAAAUAUUAUAAUGUAUCUGCUUUAAAUGUAGAUGCAUGCUACUUCUUUUGUAAAACUUAUUUUAAUAAGUUAGUACUAUUAUUUUCGAUUACUUUCGUAUAAAUUUAAUUUUUGUAACUUGAUGUGAUAACAUUAUGGCUGUCUGUGACAGUGAUCAAUGAUCUACGUACAAAUGUGCCUUACCAAUGAAACUAAAAAAUAAAUAUUCAUGUUUAAUUUUUUUAA
Molecule: long non-coding RNA, 1102 nt
Filed under: Nasonia vitripennis (jewel wasp)
Lineage: Eukaryota; Metazoa; Arthropoda; Insecta; Hymenoptera; Pteromalidae
Description: uncharacterized LOC103317385, transcript variant X1
Source: RNAcentral